CGCCGAGGGGCGCUGCAAGGUGAAGGUCUACCCCAGGCUCGGCUUGAAUUUGCAACGGCGCUCACCCACA
Laribacter hongkongensis HLHK9 is the source of this 70-nucleotide regulatory RNA element. It matches the Rfam family "SAH (S-adenosyl-L-homocysteine) riboswitch aptamer". The record is from Rfam. NCBI's taxonomy places the organism in Bacteria, Pseudomonadati, Pseudomonadota, Betaproteobacteria, Neisseriales, Aquaspirillaceae.